UACAGAGGGGGCAAGCGUUGUCCGGAGUUACUGGGCGUAAAGGGCCCGCAGGUGGCACGGCAAGUGCCGGGUGAAAGCCCCGUGCUUUACACGGGGAGGCCCCGGCAGACGGUCGCGCUCGAGGGUGGCAGAGGGGGGUGGAAUUGCUGGUGUAGUGGUGAAAUGCGUAGAGAUCAGCAGGAACACCAAGGGCGAAAGCAGCCCCCUGGGCCGCACCUGACACUGAGGGGCGAAAGCGUGGGGAGCGAACCGG
This 253-nucleotide ribosomal RNA is filed under the name uncultured bacterium. RNAcentral's name for it is "partial 16S ribosomal RNA". It matches the Rfam family "Bacterial small subunit ribosomal RNA", at positions 524 to 776 of the family's 1533-position model. The record is from RNAcentral.